Molecule: ribosomal RNA, 492 nt
Filed under: uncultured bacterium
Lineage: Bacteria
Description: partial 16S ribosomal RNA
Rfam family: Bacterial small subunit ribosomal RNA
Source: RNAcentral
AGUGAACGCUGGCGGUAGGCCUAACACAUGCAAGUCGAACGGCAGCACAGUAAGAGCUUGCUCUUACGGGUGGCGAGUGGCGGACGGGUGAGGAAUACAUCGGAAUCUACUUUUUCGUGGGGGAUAACGUAGGGAAACUUACGCUAAUACCGCAUACGACCUACGGGUGAAAGCAGGGGAUCUUCGGACCUUGCGCGAUUGAAUGAGCCGAUGUCGGAUUAGCUAGUUGGCGGGGUAAAGGCCCACCAAGGCGACGAUCCGUAGCUGGUCUGAGAGGAUGAUCAGCCACACUGGAACUGAGACACGGUCCAGACUCCUACGGGAGGCAGCAGUGGGGAAUAUUGGACAAAGGGCGCAAGCCUGAUCCAGCCAUACCGCGUGGGUGAAGAAGGCCUUCGGGUUGUAAAGCCCUUUUGUUGGGAAAGAAAAGCAGCAGGUUAAUACCCCGCUGUUCUGACGGUACCCAAAGAAUAAGCACCGGCUAACUUCGGG